RNAcentral lists this unclassified non-coding RNA (419 nucleotides) under Hevea brasiliensis (rubber tree). The record is from RNAcentral. Lineage: Eukaryota; Viridiplantae; Streptophyta; Magnoliopsida; Malpighiales; Euphorbiaceae.
AAACAGAUCAUCAGCCAACAGCCUCUCCUUGAACCCACCAAACUGAAGCAACCACCGGAAAAUUCCCGACUUCUCCAAGUCUAAAAACCUGGAAACCACAGCACCAGGAAUUCUGCCGGCUUGGAUCGCAGCCACCAAGUCGUUAGGCAAAGUCUCCAUGGUCCGCUUCGAUUCCGUUAACACCAUCAUCGCCUCCUUCCUAUUCCUAUUCCCCGCAUUAUCACCAUCCUCAUCACUGCCACUGUUAUUACCAUUGUUAUCGUCGUUGCCGCCACCACCGCCCCCGGAAGGGGUGCGGUUAUUGAAGCCGCCAUCUCCGCCAGAUAAGGACGCAGAAGGAACGAAGAGCGGGAAAAAGUUAGUGUGGUGGUGGCGGAGGGAGAGAGAGGAGGGGGAGUGGGAGGAGAGGGAGAGGGAGA